Molecule: ribosomal RNA, 258 nt
Filed under: Salmonella enterica subsp. enterica serovar Muenchen
Lineage: Bacteria; Pseudomonadati; Pseudomonadota; Gammaproteobacteria; Enterobacterales; Enterobacteriaceae
Also listed under: 5 other names
Description: partial 16S ribosomal RNA
Rfam family: Bacterial small subunit ribosomal RNA
Source: RNAcentral
AAAUUGAAGAGUUUGAUCAUGGCUCAGAUUGAACGCUGGCGGCAGGCCUAACACAUGCAAGUCGAACGGUAACAGGAAGCAGCUUGCUGCUUCGCUGACGAGUGGCGGACGGGUGAGUAAUGUCUGGGAAACUGCCUGAUGGAGGGGGAUAACUACUGGAAACGGUGGCUAAUACCGCAUAACGUCGCAAGACCAAAGAGGGGGACCUUCGGGCCUCUUGCCAUCAGAUGUGCCCAGAUGGGAUUAGCUAGUUGGUGA